This 3195-nucleotide small RNA is filed under the name Pan troglodytes (chimpanzee). RNAcentral's name for it is "retained intron". The record is from RNAcentral. Lineage: Eukaryota; Metazoa; Chordata; Mammalia; Primates; Hominidae.
GACUCUUAGCUGAACGCGGAGCUGCGGCGGCUAUGCUGUGGAGCGGCUGCCGGCGUUUCGGGGCGCGCCUCGGCUGCCUGCCCGGCGGUCUCCGGGUCCUCGUCCAGACCGGCCACCGGAGCUUGACCUCCUGCAUCGACCCAUGUGUGCCUGGAUGAUUGAUAGCUUCGGAAAUGGGGAACAGAGGCACAAAUUUUGCCCACCGCUCUGUACCAUGGAGAAGUUUGCUUCCUACUGCCUCACUGAACCAGGAAGUGGGAGUGAUGCUGCCUCUCUUCUGACCUCCGCUAAGAAACAGGGAGAUCAUUACAUCCUCAAUGGCUCCAAGGCCUUCAUCAGUGGUGCUGGUGAGUCAGACGUCUAUGUGGUCAUGUGCCGAACAGGAGGGCCAGGCCCCAAGGGCAUCUCAUGCAUAGUUGUUGAGAAGGGGACCCCUGGCCUCAGCUUUGGCAAGAAGGAGAAAAAGGUGAGUGGCUGUUGGACAGGAAACAAUUUAGGUUAUGAGACUCUGCCACCUGCCAGCCCAACUCCUGCUCUAUUUCAGAAAACAGGUUUGCAUACUUGCUAACCUACCUUUGAAGCAGUUGCUUCUAUUAGGAUUUUCAACAGGAGCAUAUGAAAUACAACAGGGCAUUAUUAAACACUAGGCCUCUGGGGAAAGUGACAAUGUUUGCCAGUAAAUUCUUCAAGCCACCUGUGAGUGUUCUGACCUCUCCUGCCUCUGCUUUUGGCCUGUGUUCCUCAUCCAGCUGCUUACGUUGGUGCACUUUGUUGCUCCAGGAAGAGACGCUUAGAGAAGACCUGGUGUUGGCCACAAGUCUCAGUAAUGGAAGGCAUGUGGUCCCUUUUUCUUCUUUGAUUAAAAAUAAAGUAAAACUCAUUGGAGAUGAUUGUGGGUAUUUCAGCAACCUAAGAAGGACACUUAGGUACUGUAAGUAAUUUGAAAAGUAAGAUACUUCUAGGAUUAAGAGCCGCCAUGGCCAGGGCAUGAACAGGAGACCUGUGAUCAUGUAACCGUAAUUGGUAAUAAGGGCUCAAGACCCAUUCAGAUUUUUUAGACCAGAUGCUCAAAGCAGUCAUCUCUCUCUAGUUUGUACUGUUAUGGGGGGACUUUGUGAGAGAAGGCAGGUAAUGAAAUGACCCCUAAGUGUACCUCUUUCUCACAGCUCCUCGGGUUUCUGUAUUUUCCUACAGGAUCCUUCCUGAUCCUCUGUAACUGCAAGGCACUAUGCAUUUUAGCAUCCCCUUCUCUUUGGUAACACAGCAACCAUUUCCUAGGCUUCUACUGUGUGUGAAGCCCAUGCUAACUCCUGGGCAGGAAGACCUUCAGUAAAAGGCUUAGAAAUGGAGUUUAUCCUAUCAACAAAAGAGAACAAGGAAAUGAUGUAAAGGCAGUCUAUUUUCAGAGCCAGAGAGGAACUGGAAGAUUGUAGAUAGUUUGUGGUUUUCAAUUAGAGGCACUGAAAUUGGGGGCAGUUGGUGUCACAAUCCUAAAAGAAGUUGUGAGAAAUGUUUGUAGGUUAGUCAGGUAGAGUAGACAUUAGUAGAUUCUCUUAAUAAGUUAGCAAAUGUUUAGCUGAAACAGGUAUCUUUCUGAGUGCUGACAGGCCUUUAAACCUGAACUUUUUCUUUUUCCUCAUUUUAAGUUCUUGUGGGUCUAAGUCUUGGGUGCUGAAACCCAUACCUCACAGGCUCCUGUCCCCAGGGAAGGCCGCCCUACCUGCUGGAUUGUUGGGCAACCACACAGUCCCUGAUUUUUGCCAGGUGGGGUGGAACUCCCAGCCAACACGAGCUGUGAUCUUCGAAGACUGUGCUGUCCCUGUGGCCAACAGAAUUGGGAGCGAGGGGCAGGGCUUCCUCAUUGCCGUGAGAGGACUGAACGGAGGGAGGAUCAACAUUGCUUCCUGCUCCCUGGGGGCUGCCCACGCCUCUGUCAUCCUCACCCGAGACCACCUCAAUGUCCGGAAGCAGUUUGGAGAGCCUCUGGCCAGUAACCAGUACUUGCAAUUCAAACUGGCUGAUAUGGCAACAAGGCUGGUGGCCGCGCGGCUGAUGGUCCGCAAUGCAGCAGUGGCUCUGCAGGAGGAAAGGAAGGAUGCAGUGGCCUUGUGCUCCAUGGCCAAGCUCUUUGCUACAGAUGAAUGCUUUGCCAUCUGCAACCAGGCCUUGCAGAUGCACGGGGGCUACGGCUACCUGAAGGAUUACGCUGUUCAGCAGUACGUGCGGGACUCCAGGGUCCACCAGAUUCUAGAAGGUAGCAAUGAAGUGAUGAGGAUACUGAUCUCUAGAAGCCUGCUUCAGGAGUAGAACCCACACUUGUUCUGGCCUGGUGUUCAGUGCGACUGCAGUCAGUGUUGAGUGGUGCCAUGUGGGCCGCUCUACUCCAAAGGAAUCAUGGAUUAGACGCAAGGGCUGAGCUCCCCUAGGGCAGGACCUGCACCCUGUGUGUUGGCACCAGCAUCGGGUCUCGGACUGGGGCAGAAUCCCCAGUGGAACCAGAAGAGCUGGCCUGAUGAGAAACAUCAGAAGAACACAUACUACCUUGUUUUCCUAAUGCCAGAAGGGUGACCAGUGAAGAUUCACCGUCAAACCAUGAAAGUCCUUUCUUGGAUCCACUUUAUCUUGAUUAGUCUGCAUUUUGCUAGUUCACUGGAUCCCUCCUCUAGGGGCCUGGGGACUUUCACUGAUGCUCUUCCUGAUUCUAGAGCAAAGGUGUGGGAAGGGGAAAUGGAGGAAUGCCCUCCUGUCUGUGUCGUUCUCUGUGCCACAGCUACAGAUGCAGAAGGUUUCUCUGGAUAGCACACCUCUGAAUGUAAAUCAUGAUAAAAUGGAUAUUUGGAAACUUACUCCUAAGCUGUGAUUUAGGGUGUAUUUCUACUUCUGGACUGCCUCAAUAUCAAGGGCUGAGACUUUUGAAUUUUGAAUAUUCGUUGGGUUUCAUGUUAAGAAGCCUGUGGUCUAGGAGUGCUAUUCAGUGUUUCUUUUCCUGAUAAACACUUUGAAUAUUUUUUUUGUGUUUUUGUUUCCUUUUCUGAAGCUGUUCCUCUUUUUAAAUAUUUUUAAUCACAUUGAUAAAAUCUAUCCUUCACCACCUCUGGUUCUACUAUAGUUGAUUUUUAUUUUAAAUGUUUAAUUGUAUUUGAUUAAACACUUAACUGGAUUUUGGAAUAAUAAAACUCGUCCAAUUUGGCUUUU